UCAGGAUCUCACGACCCGCUUGGCUUCUUUUACCUUUAAAGACACUUUUCUUGGUGUAACGUACACGACACAACUCACGAGUCUCCUGGUGUAACGUGUACGGCUCAGGGCACUUAGUGCGGUGUCGUGCGGCCAUCGCCGCUGUCCACUUCCAGACUGUCUGCACCGCCCCGGCGGACGGGGACCCACGAAGCAGCCCUCCCAUUCUCCCGCGGCAGCCAGGCCGGCCUGCCCUGGACGUGUCAUGUGGGUGGAGUCGUGACCUGUGGCUUUUGUGGCUGGCUUCUUUCACUCGGCCAUUGCGCCCGAGGUUCGCCGGUGCUGCAGCGAGUCAGCGCCACACUGCUUUUCACGGCUGAGUAAUAUUCCUCGGCGCGGCCGGACCGCUUUCCAUUCACCCUUCCCCCUCCCUGGCCAUCUGUGCUGUUUCCACUUUUUGGCCAUGGUGAAUGUGCUGCCACGAACAUUCACGCGCAGGUUAACGGGACACCGUUUUUGGGUCUUGGAGCAUAGACCCGGAGUGGAGUUCCUGGGUCAUCUGGCUGAAUUUAUUGAGGAACUGCCAAGCUUUCUCUUGCCUUCCUAAUGCUUUCCGAAAAAUAAAAAUUCACCAUAACAUUGGUAUUUCAAAAUCAAUCAUAGGAUGGUUAAAGAAUUUCUAGACUGAAUGUUAAAAACCUUAAGAGGUUUCUCCGAGGCCAAAAUUCAUUCAGAACUCUGCUAAGUCAACGAGCGAGCUUGAGACAGUUACCGUAUUUGUUUACCUCCAGCCAUGGCUGGUUCUUUCCUAAAACAUUCAGCCUUUUUCAAAAUUCGGCAUCUCUUUAGAAGACGGUUAUAAAUAGAUUAUACUGUCACUGCCCACUUUGGUUUUAUACUUUUUCUGGGUCACAUGGAAGCUCUCUAAUCUCUUCUGUGAUUUGGUUAAAUGUAGAUUAAUCCAAGGCAAAUCCGAGUUACUGACCCAUCUUCCUUUUUAUGGUGCCUUUUGCUUAAAUUUCAUGGUUGCCCAGGACAGGGUAGAAGAGAAAUAAAGUGAUUACAGAUAUCACAGAGAAUGCUGAUAAUUUCCCAACCUCGAAUUGGCUGAUGAUGAUCCCGUCCCAGCUUAAAGUGAACCCUGUGAAGAAUGAGGGUGUCGGAUGUCCUAGGCACGCCAGCGUGACUGCACCGCUGGAUUAGAUCCCUAGUACCAGAAACCAUGGUGACAUCCCCCUCCACCAGCAUCCUUCGCCACGAGUCUUCAGGUCAUGACCGUGCCAUCUUCUGCAGGAAGCGGUUUCUGCUUUUCCUACCAGGGCAGGCAGAAUCCUGCCUACUUAGCUCGGCUUGCGACCAUGAAGAGAUACCCGUUCUAGAAGGCUCCCGUUGUGGCCAGGCCUUCCUCGUGCAUCCAGGAAGUCCCUGCUCUGAUGCACUUGGCAUGUCCGUAGUCUUUUUCCUAAACUCCCAGUUGCACUUCGUCACUGUCCUGUUUAAUAACUGCCAAUGUUUUUUCAGUAUCUAAAAAUGACGUCAGAAGCCAGAUCCGUGGAAUGGGGCGGGGCGGACUCCUCCCCAGCAGCAUGCACCUGCCUGUGGGAACCAGCCAGCAAGGCUGGGCUGAGCGGGUCAGAUACCCAGGCGGCAAGGGGAGGGGGCAUCCCUCUCAGUGUCCCAGCAUGGCUUCCUACGUCUGCGUCAGCCCCUGCGGUCCUCAGACACCGCCCCCACCCCGGGGGAUUUGCGUCUGAGUGGUAGGUGACCCUGCGCUAACCAGAACAAAGCCCUGAUCAAGCCUCUGGGGCUCAAGUUGCUGACCACUGGGCUUCCGGGCUGCUGCGCUGCCCAGUGCCAACCCAUGCCGACCCUGCCGGGGGUCCUGAGCCCCUGCAGCCACACAGGUCACACAGAUGAUGAAACUAACACAUGCUCAUUGCAGAAAACUUGGAAAAUACAGAAGAAACUAAAAAAUCACCCAUGAUCCUACCUCCCAGUGAUAACUGCUAUUAACAUACAAAAUGUCAGAGUGUGUGUGUGUAUAAUUUUUGUAAUA
Molecule: long non-coding RNA, 2035 nt
Organism: Pteropus alecto (black flying fox)
Lineage: Eukaryota; Metazoa; Chordata; Mammalia; Chiroptera; Pteropodidae
Exons: 3
Source: RefSeq, a predicted model, not a curated record